This 375-nucleotide ribosomal RNA is filed under the name uncultured bacterium. Its description in RNAcentral is "bacterial SSU rRNA". It matches the Rfam family "Bacterial small subunit ribosomal RNA", at positions 523 to 898 of the family's 1533-position model. The record is from RNAcentral.
AUACGUAGGGGGCGAGCGUUGUCCGGAUUUACUGGGCGUAAAGGGCGAGUAGGCGGUUUGUUAAGUCAGGUGUGAAAUUCCAGGGCUCAACUCUGGAACUGCGCUUGAAACUGGCAGGCUAGAGGACAGGAGAGGGAAGCGGAAUUCCCGGUGUAGCGGUGAAAUGCGUAGAUAUCGGGAGGAAUACCAGUGGCGAAGGCGGCUUCCUGGACUGAACCUGACGUUGAGGAGCGAAAGCUGGGGGAGCAAACAGGAUUAGAUACCCUGGUAGUCCCAGCCGUAAACUAUGAGUGCUAGGUGUGGGGGGCAACAACCCUCCGUGCCGGAGUUAACACAAUAAGCACUCCGCCUGGGGAGUACGGCCGCAAGGCUAAA